CGGCUUGAUUCCGAGCAGCUCCGCCUUGCGCCGCGCCGGCUCCACUUCUUCGCCCUGCCCCAGAUCGGCGGUGAAGGUGACCACCUCCGCGCCAUAUUCGGUCUGCAGCCAUUUGAGGAUGAUCGAGGUAUCGAGGCC
Molecule: unclassified non-coding RNA, 138 nt
Filed under: plant metagenome
Description: partial contains 5.8S ribosomal RNA, internal transcribed spacer 2, and large subunit ribosomal RNA
Source: RNAcentral